GCGGAGGAAAAGAAAAUAACAAUGAUUCCCUCAGUAACGGCGAGCGANGAGGGAUAAGCUCAAAUUUUAAAUCUGUUGGGUUCCACUUAACAGAGUUGUAUUUUGAAGAAACGUUUUCUGCGUCCAGGAUUAGCCUAAAUCCUUUGGGAUAAGGUAUCAUGGAGGGUGAGAAUCCCGUUCAUGGUUAAUCUUAAGGAAGCUCUACGAUACGUUUUCCAAGAGUCGAGUUGUUUGGGAUUGCAGCUCAAAAUGGGAGGUAAAUUUCUCCUAAGGCUAAAUAUUGGCGAGAGACCGAUAGCGAACAAGUACCGUGAGGGAAAGAUGAAAAGAACUUUGAAAAGAGAGUUAAACAGUACGUGAAAUUGUUGAAAGGGAAACGAUUGAAGUCAGUCAUACCAACGGGAAAUCAACCUUUUGAGCUYGGUCUCGUGGGUUUUGAAGAGUUUCAAAGCCUUCGGAUUCGCGGGAUUGGGAUCUCUUGGUGUACUUUUUCGUACGGUUAGUCAACAUCGGUUUUGAAUGUCAUAAAAUGACUGGAGGAAUGUAGCUUCGAUCUCGUAUUGAAGUGUUAUAGCCUUUGGUAGAUGUGAUGUUUGAGACCGAGGAUUGCAACGGAUACCCUUCAGGGCUAUUCGUCUGAUCUCUGAUACGUUGCCUUGAUGUUGAAAGCUUGCUUAUGAUGUUAGGGUAUUACGGUCAAAAGGUUAGAACGAAUUACAUUCGUUAAGGAUGUUGACGUAAUGACUUUAAACGACCCGUCUUGA
Molecule: ribosomal RNA, 764 nt
Filed under: uncultured Glomeromycotina
Lineage: Eukaryota; Fungi; Glomeromycota
Description: eukaryotic LSU rRNA
Rfam family: Eukaryotic large subunit ribosomal RNA
Source: RNAcentral